GAUUAGAGUUUGAUCCUGGCUCAGAUUGAACGCUGGCGGCAGGCCUAACACAUGCAAGUCGAGCGGUAACAUUUCUAGCUUGCUAGAAGAUGACGAGCGGCGGACGGGUGAGUAAUGCUUGGGAACAUGCCUUGAGGUGGGGGACAACAGUUGGAAACGACUGCUAAUACCGCAUAAUGUCUACGGACCAAAGGGGGCUUCGGCUCUCGCCUUUAGAUUGGCCCAAGUGGGAUUAGCUAGUUGGUGAGGUAAUGGCUCACCAAGGCGACGAUCCCUAGCUGGUUUGAGAGGAUGAUCAGCCACACUGGGACUGAGACACGGCCCAGACUCCUACGGGAGGCAGCAGUGGGGAAUAUUGCACAAUGGGCGCAAGCCUGAUGCAGCCAUGCCGCGUGUGUGAAGAAGGCCUUCGGGUUGUAAAGCACUUUCAGUCAGGAGGAAAGGUUAGUAGUUAAUACCUGCUAGCCGUGACGUUACUGACAGAAGAAGCACCGGCUAACUCCGUGCCAGCAGCCGCGGUAA
This 522-nucleotide ribosomal RNA is filed under the name uncultured Pseudoalteromonas sp. Its description in RNAcentral is "bacterial SSU rRNA". It matches the Rfam family "Bacterial small subunit ribosomal RNA", at positions 1 to 523 of the family's 1533-position model. The record is from RNAcentral. Lineage: Bacteria; Pseudomonadati; Pseudomonadota; Gammaproteobacteria; Alteromonadales; Pseudoalteromonadaceae.